Molecule: ribosomal RNA, 1165 nt
Filed under: Arthrobacter sp. BYNT2-4
Lineage: Bacteria; Bacillati; Actinomycetota; Actinomycetes; Micrococcales; Micrococcaceae
Description: bacterial SSU rRNA
Rfam family: Bacterial small subunit ribosomal RNA
Source: RNAcentral
UGUCACCGCAUGGUGGUGGGUGGAAAGAUUUUUUGGUUUUGGAUGGACUCGCGGCCUAUCAGCUUGUUGGUGAGGUAAUGGCUCACCAAGGCGACGACGGGUAGCCGGCCUGAGAGGGUGACCGGCCACACUGGGACUGAGACACGGCCCAGACUCCUACGGGAGGCAGCAGUGGGGAAUAUUGCACAAUGGGCGAAAGCCUGAUGCAGCGACGCCGCGUGAGGGAUGACGGCCUUCGGGUUGUAAACCUCUUUCAGCAGGGAAGAAGCGAAAGUGACGGUACCUGCAGAAGAAGCGCCGGCUAACUACGUGCCAGCAGCCGCGGUAAUACGUAGGGCGCAAGCGUUGUCCGGAAUUAUUGGGCGUAAAGAGCUCGUAGGCGGUUUGUCGCGUCUGCUGUGAAAGCCCGGGGCUCAACCCCGGGUCUGCAGUGGGUACGGGCAGACUAGAGUGCAGUAGGGGAGACUGGAAUUCCUGGUGUAGCGGUGAAAUGCGCAGAUAUCAGGAGGAACACCGAUGGCGAAGGCAGGUCUCUGGGCUGUAACUGACGCUGAGGAGCGAAAGCAUGGGGAGCGAACAGGAUUAGAUACCCUGGUAGUCCAUGCCGUAAACGUUGGGCACUAGGUGUGGGGGACAUUCCACGUUUUCCGCGCCGUAGCUAACGCAUUAAGUGCCCCGCCUGGGGAGUACGGCCGCAAGGCUAAAACUCAAAGGAAUUGACGGGGGCCCGCACAAGCGGCGGAGCAUGCGGAUUAAUUCGAUGCAACGCGAAGAACCUUACCAAGGCUUGACAUGGACCGGACCGCCGCAGAAAUGCGGUUUCCCUUCGGGGCCGGUUUACAGGUGGUGCAUGGUUGUCGUCAGCUCGUGUCGUGAGAUGUUGGGUUAAGUCCCGCAACGAGCGCAACCCUCGUUCUAUGUUGCCAGCGCGUGAUGGCGGGGACUCAUAGGAGACUGCCGGGGUCAACUCGGAGGAAGGUGGGGACGACGUCAAAUCAUCAUGCCCCUUAUGUCUUGGGCUUCACGCAUGCUACAAUGGCCGGUACAAAGGGUUGCGAUACUGUGAGGUGGAGCUAAUCCCAAAAAGCCGGUCUCAGUUCGGAUUGAGGUCUGCAACUCGACCUCAUGAAGUCGGAGUCGCUAGUAAUCGCAGAUCAGCAACGCU